This 559-nucleotide ribosomal RNA is filed under the name Dujonia zeylanoides. RNAcentral describes it as "[Candida] zeylanoides partial large subunit ribosomal RNA". It matches the Rfam family "Eukaryotic large subunit ribosomal RNA", at positions 69 to 644 of the family's 3401-position model. The record is from RNAcentral. Lineage: Eukaryota; Fungi; Ascomycota; Pichiomycetes; Serinales; Debaryomycetaceae.
CAGGGAUUGCCUCAGUAACGGCGAGUGAAGCGGCAAAAGCUCAAAUUUGAAAUCUAGCACUUUCAGUGUUCGAGUUGUAAUUUGAAGAAGGUAACUUUGGUUUUGGCUCUUGUCUAUGUUCCUUGGAACAGGACGUCACAGAGGGUGAGAAUCCCGUGCGAUGAGAUGCCCAAUUCCAUGUAAAGUGCUUUCGAAGAGUCGAGUUGUUUGGGAAUGCAGCUCUAAGUGGGUGGUAAAUUCCAUCUAAAGCUAAAUAUUGGCGAGAGACCGAUAGCGAACAAGUACAGUGAUGGAAAGAUGAAAAGAACUUUGAAAAGAGAGUGAAAAAGUACGUGAAAUUGUUGAAAGGGAAGGGCUUGAGAUCAGACUUGGUAUUUUGCGUUCCCUUCCUUUUUGGUUGGGUUCCUCGCAGUUUACUGGGCCAGCAUCGGUUUGGAUGGUAGGAUAAUGACAUUGGAAUGUAGCUUUACUUCGGUGAAGUGUUAUAGACUUUGUUGAUACUGCCUAUCUAGACCGAGGACUGCGUCUUUGACUAGGAUGCUGGCGUAAUGAUCUUAAG